CAAAAACAACUUACCUGUGAGCAGAGAGAGUAUUUGUUAACCCCUUUGAGCCUAAACAGUUGAAUCUCGGCUUGAAAUAAAGCGAGAUCUCAAAAAUCUUUUUUUUUUACAACCCGGAAAAUCUUGAUUAUUGUUCUUUUGCCGUAAAAAGUUAAGAGCAUUCACUUAGGGUGUGGAAGAAAUAAGUUGGGGAGAACGAAAAAGAAUUGGUAAGUACCACAACUCUUGAAAAAGAAAAGAAAAACCGAGCAAGCAUAGAAAAAUAUAUGUAUAGAAAAUAUAGAAAAGAAACAUCUGUUUUGUAUAUUUGAUGUGAAAGAAAAGAACAAAAAUAGAAAGAAUGAAAAUGAAUGCUUGCUUG
This 361-nucleotide long non-coding RNA is filed under the name Lathyrus oleraceus (garden pea). Its description in RNAcentral is "Pisum sativum (pea) long non-coding RNA (PSAT_LNC015949)". The record is from RNAcentral. Lineage: Eukaryota; Viridiplantae; Streptophyta; Magnoliopsida; Fabales; Fabaceae.